AACAUAUUUUAUCAGUCUUAUUCUCGACCAUAUUACAUUUAAUACCUGCUGCAUGUAAAAAUCGCAGCACGAUAAAUCCCGGUGGACCUCCCUCCCAUUUCCGUAAAAAAAAAUUUUCUCGGAUUGUCCUUUUUGCAUUCCUUGGUAAUUGAAUCAUGCUAACCAGCACAUGGUGGCUAACUUAAGACCACGUCUGCUACCAAAAAAAACGAAGGGGUGGCGGUAGGGCCAAUAACCUGCUAACCGUAUCCAAAGCCUAUAAUCUUCAAUUUGGAUUUAGGAAAACGUCUCAAUAAUCUAUUGAAUCAAGUCUACAUGGAAGCCAAUUUAGACCAAAAAUCCAAAUACAACACAAUUAGAUUUUUCAAUAGACAUAUAACAAAUUCAGAUCAAAAAUCCAAAAAUACACAAUUAUUUCAGUAAAUUAGGUGUAGCGAAUUUAACCUAUAUACACCAAAUGAUAAAACUUUUAGAGUUCUUAUAUGGUAGAUAAAUGUAGCAUGUAUGCGAACAAAUUAGGGG
This 522-nucleotide long non-coding RNA is filed under the name Elaeis guineensis (African oil palm). Its description in RNAcentral is "long non-coding RNA (EGUI_LNC019885)". Lineage: Eukaryota; Viridiplantae; Streptophyta; Magnoliopsida; Arecales; Arecaceae. The record is from RNAcentral.